Molecule: ribosomal RNA, 253 nt
Filed under: uncultured bacterium
Lineage: Bacteria
Description: partial 16S ribosomal RNA
Rfam family: Bacterial small subunit ribosomal RNA
Source: RNAcentral
UACGUAGGGCGCAAGCGUUGUCCGGAAUUAUUGGGCGUAAAGAGCUCGUAGGCGGUUUGUCACGUCGGCUGUGAAAACCCGAGGCUCAACCUCGGGCCUGCAGUCGAUACGGGCAGACUUGAGUACUGCAGGGGAGACUGGAAUUCCUGGUGUAGCGGUGGAAUGCGCAGAUAUCAGGAGGAACACCGGUGGCGAAGGCGGGAUCCUGGGCCAGUACUGACGCUGAGGAGCGAAAGCGUGGGGAGCAAACAGG